Molecule: ribosomal RNA, 569 nt
Filed under: uncultured bacterium
Lineage: Bacteria
Description: partial 16S ribosomal RNA
Rfam family: Bacterial small subunit ribosomal RNA
Source: RNAcentral
UGGGAAUUUGGACAAUGGGCGCAAGCCUGAUCCAGCAAUGCCGCGUGUGUGAAGAAGGCCUUCGGGUUGUAAAGCACUUUUGUCCGGAAAGAAAUCCUUGGCUCUAAUACAGUCGGGGGAUGACGGUACCGGAAGAAUAAGCACCGGCUAACUACGUGCCAGCAGCCGCGGUAAUACGUAGGGUGCAAGCGUUAAUCGGAAUUACUGGGCGUAAAGCGUGCGCAGGCGGUUUGCUAAGACCGAUGUGAAAUCCCCGGGCUCAACCUGGGAACUGCAUUGGUGACUGGCAGGCUAGAGUAUGGCAGAGGGGGGUAGAAUUCCACGUGUAGCAGUGAAAUGCGUAGAGAUGUGGAGGAAUACCGAUGGCGAAGGCAGCCCCCUGGCAAGUACUGACGCUCAUGCACGAAAAGCGUGGGGGAGCAAACAGGAUUAGAUACCCUGGUAGUCCCACGCCCUAAAACGAUGUCAACUAGUUGUUGGGGGAUUCAUUUCCUUAGUAACGUAGCUAACGCGUGAAGUUGACCGCCUGGGGAGUACGGUCGCAAGAUUAAAAGCUCAAAUGAAUUGAC